RNAcentral lists this ribosomal RNA (467 nucleotides) under uncultured bacterium. RNAcentral's name for it is "partial 16S ribosomal RNA". It matches the Rfam family "Bacterial small subunit ribosomal RNA", at positions 29 to 507 of the family's 1533-position model. The record is from RNAcentral.
ACGAACGCUGGCGGCGUGCUUAACACAUGCAAGUCGAACGGAAAGGCCCUGCUUUUGUGGGGAGCUCGAGUGGCGAACGGGUGAGUAACACGUGAGUAACCUGCCCUUGACUUUGGGAUAACUUCAGGAAACUGGGGCUAAUACCGGAUAGGAGCUCCUGCUGCAUGGUGGGGGUUGGAAAGUUUCGGCGGUUGGGGAUGGACUCGCGGCUUAUCAGCUUGUUGGUGGGGUAGUGGCUUACCAAGGCUUUGACGGGUAGCCGGCCUGAGAGGGUGACCGGCCACAUUGGGACUGAGAUACGGCCCAGACUCCUACGGGAGGCAGCAGUGGGGAAUAUUGCACAAUGGGCGGAAGCCUGAUGCAGCAACGCCGCGUGCGGGAUGACGGCCUUCGGGUUGUAAACCGCUUUCGCCUGUGGCGAAGCGUGAGUGACGGUAAUGGGUAAAGAAGCACCGGCUAACUACGUG